AACGCACAUUGCGCCCCCUGGUAUUCCGGGGGGCACACCUGUUCGAGCGCCAUUUCUACCCUGGAGCCAUGCUCUGUGAUGGGCCUCGUCCUCGCGGACGGGCCCGAAACCCGUGGGCGCCGUCGUCCGGCCCUGAGCGUAGCAAGAGAAAUCCCUCGCUCGGAGUGUCUGCCGCCGGCCGCCCCGAAAUCUUUUUUACAAGGUUGGCCUCGGAUCAGGUGGGGAUACCCGCUGAACUUAA
Molecule: unclassified non-coding RNA, 241 nt
Filed under: uncultured fungus
Lineage: Eukaryota; Fungi
Also listed under: 1 other name
Description: partial contains 5.8S ribosomal RNA, internal transcribed spacer 2, and large subunit ribosomal RNA
Source: RNAcentral